RNAcentral lists this ribosomal RNA (449 nucleotides) under uncultured bacterium. Its description in RNAcentral is "partial 16S ribosomal RNA". It matches the Rfam family "Bacterial small subunit ribosomal RNA", at positions 29 to 523 of the family's 1533-position model. The record is from RNAcentral.
AACGAACGCUGGCGGCAUGCCUAACACAUGCAAGUCGAACGAUGCUUUCGGGCAUAGUGGCGCACGGGUGCGUAACGCGUGGGAAUCUGCCUUGGGGUACGGAAUAACUCAGAGAAAUUUGAGCUAAUACCGUAUGAUGUCUUCGGACCAAAGAUUUAUCGCCCUGAGAUGAGCCCGCGUAGGAUUAGCUAGUUGGUGGGGUAAAGGCCUACCAAGGCGACGAUCCUUAGCUGGUCUGAGAGGAUGAUCAGCCACACUGGGACUGAGACACGGCCCAGACUCCUACGGGAGGCAGCAGUGGGGAAUAUUGGACAAUGGGCGCAAGCCUGAUCCAGCAAUGCCGCGUGAGUGAUGAAGGCCUUAGGGUUGUAAAGCUCUUUUACCCGGGAAGAUAAUGACUGUACCGGGAGAAUAAGCCCCGGCUAACUCCGUGCCAGCAGCCGCCGCAG